CCCCUGGGUAGUCCUAGUGUUGCAUCCCU
RNAcentral lists this ribosomal RNA (29 nucleotides) under Solanum seaforthianum. The record is from RNAcentral. Lineage: Eukaryota; Viridiplantae; Streptophyta; Magnoliopsida; Solanales; Solanaceae.